RNAcentral lists this ribosomal RNA (408 nucleotides) under Fusobacteriota bacterium. RNAcentral describes it as "Fusobacteria bacterium partial 16S ribosomal RNA". It matches the Rfam family "Bacterial small subunit ribosomal RNA", at positions 355 to 776 of the family's 1533-position model. Lineage: Bacteria; Fusobacteriati; Fusobacteriota. The record is from RNAcentral.
UGGGGAAUAUUGCACAAUGGACGGAAGUCUGAUGCAGCAACGCCGCGUGCGGGAUGACGGCCUUCGGGUUGUAAACCGCUUUUUCUCAUGACGAAGUUUUUUGACGGUAGUGGGGGAAGAAGCACCGGCUAACUACGUGCCAGCAGCCGCGGUGAUACGUAGGGUGCGAGCGUUGUCCGGAAUUUUUGGGCGUAAAGAGCUUGUAGGCGGUUUGUCGCGUCGAUAGUGCAAACUCAGUGCUUAACGCUGAGCCUGCUGUUGAUACGGGCAGACUAGAGGAAGGUAGGGGAGAAUGGAAUUCCCGGUGGAGCGGUGGAAUGCGCAGAUAUCGGGAGGAACACCGGUGGCGAAGGCGGUUCUCUGGGCCUUUCCUGACGCUGAGAAGCGAAAGCGUGGGGAGCGAACAGG